UCAAAUGGCUUUCCCAUUUAGGUUUUUAUAGAAUAUCAUGCAGAUUUUCCUGUGCUAUAGAGUCAGUUCUUGUUGGUUAUCUAUCUUAAAUAUAGUAGUGUGUAGAUGUCAAUCCCAAACUCCCAAUCUAUACCCCACCAUUCUUCUUUACUGGUAACCAUAAGAUUGUUCUCUAAGUUUGUGAGUCUGUUUCUGUUUUGUAAAUAAGUUCAUUUGUAUCAUUUUUUAAGAUUCUUCAUAUAAGCAUUAUCAUAUGAUAUUUGUUUUUUCUUUCUGACUUACUUCACUUACUUAAUUUAUGAUAAUCUCCAGGUUCAUCCAUGUUGCUGCAAAUGGCAUUAUUUCAUGCUUUUUAAUGGCUGAAUAAUAUUCCAUUGUAUAUAUGUACCACAUCUUCUUUAUCCAUUCAUCUGUUGAUGGACAUUUAGGUUGCUUUCAUGUCUUGGUUUUUGUAAACAGCACUACAAUGAACGCUGAAGUGCAUGUAUUCUUUCAAACCUCAUUUUUCUCUGGAUGUAUGCCCAGGAGUGGAAUUAGUGGAUCAUAUGGAGCAUCCCUUGGACUGCAAGGAGAUCCAACUGGUCCAUCCUAAAGGAGAUCAGUCCUGGGUGUUUGUUGGAAGGACUGACGUUGAAGCUGAAACUCCAGUACUUUGGCCGCCUGAUGCGAAAAACUGACUCAUUUGAAAAGACCCUGGUGCUGUGAAAGAUUGAAGGCAGGAGAAGGGGACGACAGAGGAUGAGAUGAUUGGAUGGCAUCACCAACUCGAUGGACAUGAGUUUGAGUAGACUCCAGGAGUUGGUGAUGGACAGGGAGGCCUGGCGUGCUGCGAUUCAUGGGGUCACAAAGAGUCGGACACGACUGAGCAACUGAACUGAACUGAACUGAUGGGCCCACUGUUCGCUCUACAGCUUCCUUGGUGAGAAGAAGUGGUGGUGAUGGCAGCCGCAGCAACACGGACUGACUGCUCUCGUCCCCCAGUCCCUGCACUGUAGCUUCAUGGGCGCCCAGAAGCCAAGGCAACAGUGGCGACAGACUGGGAGCAGGUUCUUGACUCAGGCAUGGCUCCAUUGGUGUCUCACCGGUAGUAGUAGACAUUUAAGAAGCACCAGCUAUUUUUCAAGCAUUGGAGAACAGAGAUGAACAAAUGCUGGCCCUCAGGAAUAUAUCAGGAAAGAGAUCUGACACCACACAAACUCCUCCUCCUCCAUCCCCUGUACCCAGCUAGUCACCUCAACAGUAUCUUUAGGUCUUUGGAUGGAGAUGACUUUAGACUGCCAAGAAAAGGCAUAAUUCUUCUUAUUCUGAGGACUGCAGUCAUGGUGAAGACAGAAACUGUUUGCAUUAGCUGAUGAAAUCCAGAACUUGAUGGAGCACCACAGACCUUAUGUUGGAGGAGGGUAAGGAUCUUGUGGGAUCUGACUGGAUACCCAGCGGAUUGAUGUUGGAUCUCAGAAACUGAACUACUGCUUGGCCAAGUAAGCACUUCUCUAGCUUACCUUGUAACAUAUAUGGCCAGAGGCUGGCACCAGCCAUAUAGAUAUGCACAGUUUGCUGGGUCAGGUCCUAUGAGGAAAUCAAGAUUAUAUCAAAGGGAUUCUUUAUAAGCUGUUGCGGGGAGAGCAGUCUAUUGCAUCAUUCCUAAUGGCAUUAUACUCAUAAGGACUGUACUAAAUCGGGAAUAACUGCUUUUAUUGUCUCUGGAUUCAUACUAGUCUGUGUGCCCCCAGAGGUUACUUGCUAUAAAUACUUAUUGUACAUUACCAGUCUUACAAACUGGGGAGUGAUGGUGAUGUAAAUUGGGAGUCUUACAAACUUAGAUGGUGAUGAUGUUGAGAAUCAGGAGUCUUAUGUAACCUCACUUGCUCACUUUUAUAUAACACAAUAAGAAUCAGAACCUAGGAAGGGGAGAGAGAAGGGCAAGUGAGCCUUCACUGCAAA
This is a long non-coding RNA of Dama dama (fallow deer), 1941 nucleotides long. RefSeq lists it as uncharacterized. The record is from RefSeq and is a predicted model, not a curated record. The transcript has 4 exons. NCBI's taxonomy places the organism in Eukaryota, Metazoa, Chordata, Mammalia, Artiodactyla, Cervidae.